This 440-nucleotide ribosomal RNA is filed under the name uncultured bacterium. RNAcentral describes it as "partial 16S ribosomal RNA". It matches the Rfam family "Bacterial small subunit ribosomal RNA", at positions 338 to 795 of the family's 1533-position model. The record is from RNAcentral.
CCUACGGGUGGCAGCAGUGAGGAAUCUUGCACAAUGGGGGAAACCCUGAUGCAGCGACGCCGCGUGAGGGAAGAAGGUUCUCGGGAUUGUAAACCCCUUUCGUAGGGGAGAAAAUGACGCUACGUGUGGAAGAAGAGCCAGCUAACUACGGGCCAGCAGCCGCGGUAAUACGAAGGGGGCAAGCGUUAUCCGGAUUUAGGGGGUGUAAAGGGAGCGUAGGCGGGAGUGUAAGUCGGGAGUGAAAGGCGGGGGCUCAACCCCCGGACUGCGCUGGAAACUGUGAGGCUUGAGUGAAGGAAGGGAAACCGGAAUUCCUGGUGUAGCGGUGAAAUGCGUAGAUAUCAGGAGGAACACCAGUGGCGAAGGCGGGUUACUGGACUGUAACUGACGCUGAGGCUCGAAAGCGUGGGGAGCAAACAGGAUUAGAUACCCGAGUAGUC